This 380-nucleotide ribosomal RNA is filed under the name uncultured eukaryote. Its description in RNAcentral is "partial 18S ribosomal RNA". It matches the Rfam family "Eukaryotic small subunit ribosomal RNA", at positions 592 to 976 of the family's 1831-position model. The record is from RNAcentral.
CAAUAGCGUAUAUUAAAGUUGUUGCAGUUAAAAAGCUCGUAGUUGGAUUUGUGGCGUACGGUGUGUUCCGGGCACUUGUUGCCUGAGUAACCUGCUGUUGCCAUCCUUGGGUGGAACCUGUGUGGCAUUAGGUUGUCGUGCAGGGGAUGCCCAUCAUUUACUGUGAAAAAAUUAGAGUGUUCAAAGCAGGCUUAUGCCGUUGAAUAUAUUAGCAUGGAAUAAUGAGAUAGGACUUUUUUGCUAUUUUGUUGGUUUGCGCAAAGAGGUAAUGAUUAAUAGGGACAGUUGGGGGUAUUCGUAUUCCAUUGUCAGAGGUGAAAUUCUUGGAUUUUUGGAAGACGAACUACUGCGAAAGCAUUUACCAAGGAUGUUUNCAUUAA